CCUACGGGAGGCAGCAGUGGGGAAUCUUGCGCAAUGGGCGAAAGCCUGACGCAGCCAUGCCGCGUGAAUGAUGAAGGUCUUAGGAUUGUAAAAUUCUUUCAGUAGGGACGAUAAUGACGGUACCUACAGAAGAAGCCCCGGCUAACUUCGUGCCAGCAGCCGCGGUAAUACGAAGGGGGCUAGCGUUGCUCGGAAUUACUGGGCGUAAAGGGAGCGUAGGCGGGUUAUCAAGUUGGAGGUGAAAGCCCAGGGCUCAACCUUGGAAUUGCCUUCAAAACUGAUAGCCUAGAGUAUGAUAGAGGUAAGUGGAACUCCGAGUGUAGAGGUGAAAUUCGUAGAUAUUCGGAAGAACACCAGUGGCGAAGGCGACUUACUGGAUCAUGACUGACGCUGAGGCUCGAAAGCGUGGGGAGCAAACAGGAUUAGAUACCCUGGUAGUCCACGCUGUAAACGAUGAUUGCUAGUUGUCGGACGGCAUGCCGUUCGGUGACGCAGCUAACGCAUUAAGCAAUCCGCCUGGGGAGUACGGUCGCAAGNUUAAAACUCAAAGGAAUUGACGG
RNAcentral lists this ribosomal RNA (560 nucleotides) under uncultured bacterium. RNAcentral describes it as "bacterial SSU rRNA". It matches the Rfam family "Bacterial small subunit ribosomal RNA", at positions 338 to 916 of the family's 1533-position model. The record is from RNAcentral.